UUUGGCAGUGCACAUAAAAAAAAAAAAUUGGAAUGACAGAGAUUACCCUGGCCCCUGCACAAAGGUGACAACCAAAUUCAUGAUGUUCCUGUGUUUAU
RNAcentral lists this small nuclear RNA (98 nucleotides) under Theropithecus gelada (gelada). Lineage: Eukaryota; Metazoa; Chordata; Mammalia; Primates; Cercopithecidae. The record is from RNAcentral.